Long non-coding RNA from Micropterus dolomieu (smallmouth bass), 5184 nucleotides. RefSeq lists it as uncharacterized. The record is from RefSeq and is a predicted model, not a curated record. The transcript has 3 exons. Lineage: Eukaryota; Metazoa; Chordata; Actinopteri; Centrarchiformes; Centrarchidae.
UUUUAUGAGGUUUGUAUGCACAGCUCCUCUUCUGUUUACCUUUUUAAAUAAUUUCGAUGGUCGGGGGCAGACACCGUCACUAUAGGAUUUUCACUAAGUAACUCCUGAAAUGGAGGACAUGCAAACUCAAUGGGACAAUUUGAUAAGUGGGUUGAAUUUGGGUUCCCAGCAACGGGGAGCUUUAGUCUACAUCAAUUGCAGCAGCUGAAGAUACGUUUAGAGGUAGAGGAAGGGAUAGCAGCAGAGAAACAUGCAGCCUUGUCCAAAAAACAUCAAAAGAAAAAACAUCCAUUUAAAGCAGACUGGAAAGCUUACAUUGAAUGGAGGGAGGAAGCAAGGGAGAGAAAAAGUCAGAAAAUAGAGGGUCAGGUUAAGAGCACUCAGGAUAAGAAGGAGGGGGGCAUGAAUAAGGAUUUCUGGGCACAAUUCACACAAGCACCAACAACAUCACAAAUACCUCCUAACACACAAACACAAUCUAACACCUUGUAUCCUUCUUUGCCUGAGGUGUACACUGCAAAAAAUCCAUUCAGGCUGGAUCCCGACCUGGACUCCGCGCUGCUUCCUCCUCCCUACAAUCCUGCUUUGAACCAACCGCAAGAUCCAAACCAGCAGCUCCAAGGAGCGCACGUUUUAAGAGACUGAAACCAAAGCCGCAACAACAGUGGCUUUAACGCAAAAUUUGGAGAAACAGAUGGAUCAGUUUGUCAGAGAGGAUCGGCCCACAAUGACUGAGCUAAAGCGCAUGAUGAGCAAAAUGCUCAAGAUGGACUAUUACAAGAUCACACCCUACUUCACGCCAGCAGUGUCGGCUGGUGGAGGUGGUUUACAGCCGUAUGGAUAAUGUUGAUUACAGAGACGCUAUCACUGGAUUAAUUGCCACCUGCAAGGCCGCUUUUCCGAUGCGGAUGGAUCUGUCAAUUAUCACCUCGGUGGCGCAGGAGCCGACGGAGACCUGUCAGGCUUACCUAGCCCGUCUGACAGUGGCCUUCGAUCUUCACACUGGAAUGACAGGGGGCCAGAUGGGGGCUGCAGCUCAUACAGCAUUUCAUGACCCGGUUGAGGCCAGAAAUCGCUGCAGCAGAAAGAUGAAGAUGCGUCUUUUGGAAAACAGUGCCACUUUCAAUGAUAUUAGACUACGCUGGCCACGCGGAGGGAGAGCUUAGGGAGCGAGAAGAGAGCAGAGGGAAAGAGCAGCAGAAGAAGCUAGUGGACGCACAGUUGUCUAUGUUUAACUCCAUCGACACCACAAGCCAAAAGAAAGAGUCCUCCAGUUGCGGAAAAGAGGGGUCCGCGGGAGAGGUUGCAAGAAUGACCGACAAAGUGUCAGCGACCCGGAUUUUUGUUGGAACUGUGGGGAAACUGGACAUUGGCAAGAUGAAUGCAAAAAAGAAACAAAGAGGGGUUAUGUGAAAUCGGACUGAAAUGAGGGAGUGGAGGCGGAGUGGCCACUGGGGACGGACCGGCCUGCCACACACGCAUCAAUGGUUGUUCCAAGGAGAAUUUUGCCCGCAUGUGGCGUUGGCUAAGCCUGCUGAUUGGAGAUGGAGGGAUGUGGGGAGGUGGAUUCACACUCAGAGUCAGCUGACUGACUACAAGCCCAUGGAAGGGGAUCCGAGAACACUGUACAGUAAAAAGGGUGAUGUAUACAAGGCUCUAUUGACAUACACUGGUCUAGUUAAGAGAACUGUUGAACCAAGUCCAGUAACAGGUUUCUCACUGUUUCACACUGUGAGAAAUACAUUAUAAGUUGCUGAUUUUUAGGAUUUCACUGUAAUUAACUUGUGAGAAAUUAGCAUUGGUCACAGGGUUUUUAUUAGGGGUUAUUAUAAAGGGUUGUCUGACUUACAAUAAACAUCUGCUGACAUGUAGGUGGGAGUUUUAACAUAGACUAAUCAAGAAGUAGGAACACAACUUUGAUGCCACAUACAAUUGCAUUCUUAUGUCAGCCCAGGAAGAAGCUUUUGAGUGUGUGCUAAAACUCUGCCAUUUGUUUUCCCUUGUCUUGGCAGUUUACUAUUGCUGUACUUGUUCUGUAUUUAAGAGUUCUCUCCAUGGCCACGUUACAUAAAGAAAUGAUUCAACACAUCUAUUUGACUCCGUAUUCUUUGGGAAGGAAUUCUUUUCCCUGACAUUGGGCAUGUGUUGGAGAUGUUCAUCAGAAUUCGGCGUAAAACCUUCGUGGUAGCCAGGUGUUCUGUCGAGUCAGACACCUAUUCCGAAGAAACGUUCGCCCAGUUGGGGUUAAUAGAACUAUAAAUAUAGUUCAUCAUCGGGGGUGGUGAUAAAGGGUCUAUUCGGGGGAAACAGAGAAAAAACAACAGGCCAGGAGUGAUAAGUGCAUAAUCCCAUUAUGGUAGCAUCUCUAGUGAUAACCUACCUAGGAGUUUAUAUAGACUAGCAGGUAACACCAUUUAAAGGUCGCAUUUUGAGUGAUUUAAGGAACGGCCUAUUUUCCAAAAUCCUGAGUGAUUUUGGGAAAAAAGAAAUUUAAAUAACAGAGAAAAAAAAGAAUUCCAUCCUAGCUGCAGCGGCCUGGGUCAAACUCUGGCCCAUAGCCGUGUGUUUGUAUGAACAUAAUUGCCGUAGUUUCGUUAUACUAUAAAUAACACAUCAUAGAAAAACAUUCCAGAUGUUUCCCAUUUAGAGUUUUAAAGAGUUUAUGUGAUGUGAUAAGUGUUUGUUUCGAACAUUAUGUUCCACUAAGGAGGGAAAAUAUCUGGGUGUGCAUGAGAUGAUAAAUAUAGAAAACUCUGUGAUAAACUCAUUUCAGUGUCUAGCACACAAUUGUAAACGAAAACGAGUGCACCAUCAUGCAAGUGCCAUACAGCUGAGAGAGUUUCUCCAGAGUUAGUGUGUGUUUGACAAGAUCAGACCAUAUGGGAAGAUCAGAGUGAUUGUGUGAAUAAUAAAACCCAUUGCAAGUAAAAACAAAUUUGUUCAGUGAGUCUGAGUCAGUAGAAAAACAUGGGGAACAAAUCGGGGAAAAAACUCAAUUCUUUGCCUGACACUCUUUCAGGUUCAGCUAAAACAAUGGUAGAAAAAUGGGGGGAAAGUGUGGUUGUUGAUGUUCCUUUUUGGCAUGAUGUAACUGAAGGCAUUUUUCUUAUCCUAGGCACACUGAGUACAGAUUGUUUAGGGAGAUGUAGAAUUAUGUUGACAGAGAAAGCAAAGACAGUAGGUAAGAAAAAGAUUGAUUGGCAAGCUUUUGAGAAAUGGGAAAAAUAAGCACAUUUGAGAGAAGCAAAAUCAGUGGCAGGGUAAAUGGUAAAACAACAGAUAAGAGAGGCAGUUUUAAAUGAUAAGAAAGAGACACACAAAAGGCCAGAUCAGAUGUUGCCACCUCCAUACGUUGUCUCCAAGCCACUAAUCCUUUUGUCAUUAGAGACACACAUGGAAAGUACUGCCCUUUUGACUGAGAAACUCCAGGAAAGAACUGACAGACGGGGGAGAGAACAUGCAUUGUGUCAUGACCUGAGGACUGUUUGCCCAUUUCACACACCAGUUGCUGGGAAAGGACAAAAUGGGAAAAGACUCAAAUUAACUUUCCCAAGAAGUUUUUAUUUCAAUCAGCAGCCUCUUCCUGGCUCAGGAGAAACGGUGAAGGAAGAAACGCACACCUACUGCUGACAGUGACACCUCCAAAUCCCCAGCCCAGACCGACGGGAGGGCAGGAACACGCCCACUGGGACUCAGAACUGUUUGGAGAAGAACUACCUAAUACAAAGACUGAUGGUGAGAAAUGGGUCACACCACUGGAACAGUCAAAUGAUAAUGGAGAACGCGGCAACAGAGGGAAGAAAAGCUGGAGAACACACCCCAGACACAACAACGCAAAUCGACACAGAUUAAAGAUGUGGAGGUUAUGGGCACAUAUCACGACUGUGUCCCACCCGUGUGUUCAGCCAACAAGAAGAACAAAGUCCAGAGGAAUCCUGGUCACACACAUCACCUGGAGCCUCACUGUCCAGUCUCCAGGGUUUCCAGUCAGCAAAAGACAUAGAAUGUAGUGGAGAAAGGUCAGAGCAGGGAGCAGCAUAUUCACAAGUACACCACUGAUGAGAGGGAUAAACCAGUAUUUACAUAAAGACCCUAGUCUGAUUUCAGGAGCAGAAGGCUCAUUGAUCAAAUCUAAAGUGCUCCAUAAUGCUCCUAGAACAUAUAGUUUUCAUUCCUGUCACAUUUUGAAACAGCCAUCAAACCUAUUUACACGUAGACACAGAUAUUUUGCACACAUUUAUUUUUUAGGGGGGAAAAAAGAAAUGAAAAUGCCAGUUGUGAAAUGUUCUUCUGAUACCAUGCAACUCCUCCAUUCUGCCUGUAGAGACAAGGGGGGUGGUAAGUUUUUCAAGAUCUUAGGGAAUAAAUAAAUUACCUUAUGCGGUAAAGCUAAUGUCAUGGGGUCUAACAGCCCAUGUUGAUUUUCUGUGAUUGAUUCAGCAAAUGCACAUUUAAGCAUUCCUGUUUUCAUCCUGAUUCAAGAUUGUUUUUUUCCACAUUUUUGUAAUGGGUUGUGGUUAUGAUUUUAUAUCUGUGUUUCACCCAAACCUGGGAAUUGUCAAAGUGACACAGUGUCACUAUUAGCUUCUUGGCAGAGAACUGUCAUAAGGUGGAUUUCUGUUCCAAAAGGGGUGCGUUUUUAAUUUGGAUCACAAAUCGGGUACAGGAAAUCCAUGAAUUUCCAAAGACCACAAUACUAAAUUCUUUUGGCUCUAGCAGGCUAGUGCCAUUCAUGGAUUAUCAUUUUUUCUUUGUGGAGAUCUGUUUUUUGUUUUGUAGAUGGAGUCGGUGGGGCAGCUAUGUGACUUGAUUUAGCAUGUGUUUCUGUGUUUUCUUUGUCACCUCUCUUAUUUUUCCUGACAGCACACACACAGGUGGACGUGGCUGAACCGUCCGAGGUGCCGGCUGAGUUGUGGGCCCGUCACAAAUAUGAUGUAGCACUGAUACGAGGAGCCACCCCUCUGGUAGUUCACCCAAGAUCAGAGUUUAUUUAUUCGAAACAAUAUCCAAGUAACCAGGAAGCGCUUGAAGUAAAGAAAAUCCGGGAAGAGGGUCAACCUACAGAAUGGAGGUUUGUCCAAGACCUGCAGGCCGUAAACGCAGCUGUGCAUCUGCGAGCACCAGAAGUGGCAAAUCCACACACGAUUUUGUCAUUGAUUCCGCCAGAUGCCACACAUUUUUCAG